Long non-coding RNA from Triticum dicoccoides, 1479 nucleotides. RefSeq lists it as uncharacterized. The record is from RefSeq and is a predicted model, not a curated record. NCBI's taxonomy places the organism in Eukaryota, Viridiplantae, Streptophyta, Magnoliopsida, Poales, Poaceae. The transcript is spliced from 3 exons.
UCCUACCUUAGCCAAAUCAACGGAUCUCUUUCGUUAAUGAAUUUGCUUUAGGAAACAAAUAAUAUAUUUUUAGGAAACAAAUAAUCUCUAAUCUCAUCUCUAAUUCUCCAAUAAUAAUAAUUAAUAUAAUAUAAUAAUAAUAAUACCUAAAAGAAACGCAGCGUUCCGUUUCCCGUCUUACGUCGUCGAACCCUUCGUCGAGCCUCCCUCCCGUGCGCUGUUGGUUUUCCCUGCGUACGUUCCACCCCAAACGUGAUUCGUUCUUCUUAAUUACGUGGUCCCACCCCCAUGCGAUCCGGCCAAAGAACCAGCAAAACCGUCAUACCCAUGCACGCAAGGAACGAAAAAUCCAUGCAAGUUGUGUCUCCUCCUCCCUGUUCAAACCCUAGCCGCCCCUUCCCAGUUGACGCCGCUAGCGAGUAGCGCGUAGCACAGGCACCCGUGCGGCCCUUCUGUGGUCCCCCUUGACCUCGCAAUGAAACAGCUCGUCAGCAUCGACGACGAGCCGAUGCGUCUGCUGUUGAUUCCUGUGGAUGGGUCAAGCAGGACAGAGGGCGGUGGAUCCGGGACAUAGCCAUGAAGUCUGCUUCGAUGCGCUCCCAUUACUGUCUCAAGUGCAUGGGUCGAUCCUGGACGGUGGGUGAUGGAUCAAGGACGUACAUAGCAGCUUUCACCUACGCAAACGGCUGACUACUCAACCUCCUCUCGGCGGUGGCAGCGGCCAGGUCUGGUUAGCUACCAUUUAUCUUUAAUACAUGCCAUGAAAGGCGAUCAAGAGGAGCAAUCAUAAGCAGCGAGGUGUUCCAGGGCUACGAGCGCCAGUACUGCGACUCUGCGUCUACGAGGUCUUCGCCAAGAUCGCUACCCUCUCUUCCCGUGCCUAUUUCUAUUCGUUGUUGUUGGUUUUGUCUUACAUGGUGAGAUCUAAGCAGACAAUAUGAAGCAGAGGCUCUUUAAGAUCCAGUCCAACGUGCAGGAUACUGAAUCGCUGGUGGAGGCUUCAUUUUGGAUGUAGGUGAAUGUGUGAUUUCUGGAAGCUCUGUAUAUUAACUUCAUGAUCUGCUCUUGAUUUUCUUCUUGGGGACUAGAUUUGAAGAUUUGCCAGCUACACCAUCUAAAAAUCAGGCAGCUGAUCCGGGUGAAGAAGGGAUUCCUAUCUCGAAAUUCUGUUGUAGGUGAAGCGUCUCCUGUAGGCCAUGGAGAUGACCAGGGAUGCAUUGGGAGGCGGGCGACGUAAAGUGCUGGAAAGGAGUAUUGUAUUAUGUAUGGUCCUCCUUCGCUUUUUGGAAGGUUGUAUAGUCGUUUUGAUACACAAGAUAUAAUUUCAGGUUCUACAUACAUAUUGGUUUGAGAUGUUUUCAUUUUUUAUCAUGUCAAUGAAUAAUGCAAUCUGGAUUUGUUUUAUCAUGCCAAUUUGAGGCAUUCUGUAUGGGCUGGUUGGAGGAAUAUUAUUUUUUUACGCACUAUGUGUGAACAUGU